CCUUACCCACCUUUGACAUGUACGGAAGUUACCAGAGAUGGUUUCGUGCUCGAAAGAGAACCGUAACACAGGUGCUGCAUGGCUGUCGUCAGCUCGUGUCGUGAGAUGUUGGGUUAAGUCCCGCAACGAGCGCAACCCUUGCCAUUAGUUGCUACGAAAGGGCACUCUAAUGGGACUGCCGGUGACAAACCGGAGGAAGGUGGGGAUGACGUCAAGUCCUC
Molecule: ribosomal RNA, 221 nt
Filed under: Curvibacter gracilis
Lineage: Bacteria; Pseudomonadati; Pseudomonadota; Betaproteobacteria; Burkholderiales; Comamonadaceae
Description: partial 16S ribosomal RNA
Rfam family: Bacterial small subunit ribosomal RNA
Source: RNAcentral